RNAcentral lists this transfer RNA (81 nucleotides) under Felis catus (domestic cat). It matches the Rfam family "tRNA". Rfam says of the family: Transfer RNA (tRNA) molecules are approximately 80 nucleotides in length. Their secondary structure includes four short double-helical elements and three loops (D, anti-codon, and T loops). RNAcentral also lists the same sequence under 1 other name. The record is from Rfam by way of RNAcentral. Lineage: Eukaryota; Metazoa; Chordata; Mammalia; Carnivora; Felidae.
GCCUGGGUGGCUCAGUUGGUUAAGCGUUAGACUUCAGCUCAGGUCAUAUCUCAUUUGUGGGUUCAAACCCCGCAUCAGGCU